Long non-coding RNA from Poecilia latipinna (sailfin molly), 589 nucleotides. RefSeq lists it as uncharacterized. Lineage: Eukaryota; Metazoa; Chordata; Actinopteri; Cyprinodontiformes; Poeciliidae. The record is from RefSeq and is a predicted model, not a curated record. The transcript is spliced from 2 exons.
GGCUGCUGUGGAGAAUUACUGCUACCUGUUGCAUAACUGUGCUGUCCAGGAACCUGACGGAGGAAAACGCAGAGCGGUGCAGGGAUCAGUGGAACAGGAACAACCCAAAACAAGUUUCGAUGUCUAGUGUAAAAUGAAAUGAACAUCAGCGUGGACACCAACCAAGAAAGACGUGCUUGGAUGCAAAAAUCAACUCCUCCUUUAAGCUCAACUGAAACGGUGCAGCUGCCCUCAUCAACGAGCCUUUUGGAGAAAGUUGUGUGGUCAGACAAAAACAAAGAUUGAACCUCUUGGUCAAAAAGAUAAGUGUAUUUAUUGUACUUGGGGCUUUUAGUCAUAAGAUCCCCGUACUAACUGUUGAGCACGGUGGUGGUCACAUCAUGCUGAUGUAAAAAGGAGAACUGCCUCAAAGUUCUUAGACUUCUCCUCAAAAACAGCAGCUAAACAGUCGAAUCGUUGGUUUGUUAACAGGACCAUCAUCCUAAGAUCAAAGCUAUUUCUGGAGUGGAUGGAGCAAGUUUAUAUUAAACUGCUAAAACAGUUAAAUAGUCCCUUAUGUGUUUUAAUGAAUAGAAAUGGAUUUCUGUCA